Molecule: long non-coding RNA, 861 nt
Organism: Limulus polyphemus (Atlantic horseshoe crab)
Lineage: Eukaryota; Metazoa; Arthropoda; Merostomata; Xiphosura; Limulidae
Exons: 3
Source: RefSeq, a predicted model, not a curated record
ACAUGAGUUCAAAUAAAGUUUAAUAAUCAUGCACUAUUAUUAAACGACAAACGAUGUUCGGUCUUCAAAGUAACUGUUAAGCCACGUUCCAAAUCGGUGGUAUUGCAGAGGGCGUUUUCACAUAACAGGGAUGACCACAGGGAUAUAGCAAGUACAACGAGUGAAGAGAAGGUCUUUAAAAAAAAUGUGGACAUCUCCUUCUACAUAAACAACUUAAGUGACUUACAUGAAAGUCAUGUGUUUCUUUAAAAAAUCAUUAGAUAAUGGUCGUUUGAUUCCCACCUCCUGGCUACGCCCAUGGAUUAAGAUAUAUGUGCGGCAAUGAAAUAUGCGAGACUCGAUUUUAUUCAUAGACCACAUCUCCUCUGCCUGCAAGGAUAUUUCACCAUUAGAUAAAGCCUUUGGUUAAAUUGUUUGCACUGGAAUAUCAUUUUUUGUCAAAUUAUAACAGUGACCAACAUUUGACAAAUAAACGAUGCUGCCAGGGAACAGAGGUCACGAGGUGACGCUGUCCAUUAGCCAAAGAAAAGGAGUUAAUAUUUUAGAUUGGAGUGCACUUUCUUGGUUCACUUUUAUAUUCGUCAAACUACAGGAAAGACCAGCUUUCUUUUGAAAGAUCAUCGUGUUUAGUUUUGGAGUGUUCAAUCCUGAGAGAGAAGAGGCAGUUAGGCUAAACACCAACUAAGAUAGAAAGAACUGUCUACUCGUUCACAGUGGGUGCGUGUACUGGCUUUUCUGUAUAUUGCCUGAACAAAAAAAUAUGUUUGUUCAAAACGUGUUUUAGUUUCGUUAUUUACAGAGUAAAUGAAUAUUUCGGUCUAAUUGUUUCACUCACAGAAAUCCUUGUACAUUUCAUGGAUG